GCCCUGCUAGCUCAGUGGUAGAGCGUCGCACUCGUACACAUGCAUUCGCUUCUGUCACGAUGCGAAGGUCAGUCGUUCAAGUCGGCUGUGGGGCA
This 95-nucleotide transfer RNA is filed under the name Schizophyllum commune Tattone D. RNAcentral describes it as "tRNA-Thr". It matches the Rfam family "tRNA". Rfam says of the family: Transfer RNA (tRNA) molecules are approximately 80 nucleotides in length. Their secondary structure includes four short double-helical elements and three loops (D, anti-codon, and T loops). Further hydrogen bonds mediate the characteristic L-shaped molecular structure. tRNAs have two regions of fundamental functional importance: the anti-codon, which is responsible for specific mRNA codon recognition, and the 3' end, to which the tRNAs corresponding amino acid is attached (by aminoacyl-tRNA synthetases). tRNAs cope with the degeneracy of the genetic code in two manners: having more than one tRNA (with a specific anti-codon) for a particular amino acid; and 'wobble' base-pairing, i.e. permitting non-standard base-pairing at the 3rd anti-codon position. Lineage: Eukaryota; Fungi; Basidiomycota; Agaricomycetes; Agaricales; Schizophyllaceae. The record is from RNAcentral.